Molecule: non-coding RNA, 2571 nt
Organism: Pelobates cultripes (western spadefoot toad)
Lineage: Eukaryota; Metazoa; Chordata; Amphibia; Anura; Pelobatidae
Source: the annotation of a GenBank genome assembly
GUUUAUUUUAUAUAGCCAUUUUUAAAAGGAUUUAUAUGUGGCCAAUUUGUAAUUAAAGUGUUUUAAUCUGAUUAUAAUGCUCUUUCCCCCGUUUCUUCCUUCAAUUUCCCUUCCUCUGCCCAUAUAUAAAAUGGACUCUGCAACACCAUAUGAUUGCACGUACGUACACCAUUGGCCUAAUUAUAAACAUAUGGGGAAGAGAGUUAGAUCCCCCAUGAAUUGAUAGAAGUGAUUUAUUGCAGAAAGCCGCAACGUCACUUCCACCUGGAAGAAGAUCAGAGAGGACUGGCGUGGGAAGCUGGAAGGCCCGCACGGGAAGUGACGUAUGGCGGCUAUAUGCAACGUCACAGGCCGUCAGAAAGAGGACACAGGAGUUGAUAAUUAGAGACAGAGAACGCCCAAUCAGGGCAUACCCACGUGACUGGGAGGGAGGCCGGGCGCCAAGGUUUAAAUACAAGUUAGAAGCAUACAACACACAUAGCUGACUGAGGAAGCUUUUUAUAAGCGAAAUAAACCAUCUAAGACCAAGUGUUAAUAUUUGAUUUAUUAUUUUUUAACAUUUGUUUUAUUAAUAAUUUUUUUUGAGUAAGAUUCACUUUUAUGACCAGCCUCUGCUGCUUCUACAUUUACCUACAGGUGUUGUUUUACCCCAUAAAUUGACACCAAGCCUUCCAACCUCAGAGUCAGGGGUUUAACGCUCCAGGUGAGCUUAACUUUGAAUUAAAUUAUAAAUUAACAAGCUUCAUACUUCAUACAAGCUACAGCAGACUAGACGGGCCGAAUGGUUCUUAUCUGCCGUCACAUUCUAUGUUUCUAUGUAAUGUUAUAUCCUCCUAUAUAAUUAAUAAGUGGUAAGCAAAUUGCAUGCUUUUUUAUAUGUAAUAUUGUUGUAAGCUCUCCACUAUAUAUAUAUAUAUAUAUAUAUACACACACACCUAAAAACCUGAAAGAAAGAUUUUUAGAAAAAGGAUAUCCUGCAAAAUUAUUGGGAGAAGCCAUGAAUAAAGCAAUAACCACCCCAAGAGAAGAUACACGAUGUAAGAAAAUGUCCACUACGGAACCACAUCCCACUGCACCUGCCUUUAUUACGAAAUAUAACCACCAAUCCCUAACAAUACAGAAGAUUUUGAAGAAGCACUGGGGGAUUCUCAAAAACGACCUAACCCUCUCCAAACUCCUUGAUCACCAACCACAAAUUAUUUUCACUAGGGCACCCAAUCUCCAACUUAUGCUGGCACCCACUAUCAAAUCCUCAAAUACUACCACAGACCAAGAUUCCACUCAUGGCUUCACAAGAUGCAAGAAUUGAACAAUCCAUCCAUGGAACAAGUAACCACGAGAUUUUCAUCGUCUUUAACUUGAAGAGUAAUAUGAAUUGCAAUACUUCGGGGGUCAUUUACCUUAUAACAUGCCCAUGUCCAAAACAAUACAUUGGAUGUACAAAAAGACCACUAAAAGUACGAAUUGCGGAGCAUAUUAGGAAUGUUUAAAAAGGACUGCUAACACAUAACCUCUCCAAACACUUUAACCCCUUAAGGACACAUGACGUGUGACAUGUCAUGAUUCCCUUUUAUUCCAGAAGUUUGGUCCUUAAGGGGUUAAAGAACUACAUGGGGGAGACUCCAGAGGACUCGAGUGUAUAUCAAUAGAUAAGGUAAAUGUCCAUUGGAGAGGAGGCAGCAUUGACAGCACUCGAUCAAACAGAAGCAAAGUGGAUUUUCCAAUUAGACACUAUAGCCCCUAAAGGACUCAACAUAGAUUUUGAGCUACAUAAAUUUUUAUAGAUCCCUUUCCUCCUUUAUGUUCCCUCCUUCACCCUUCAGCCAUGCAAUUACUCACAUUUGUACUUGUACCUCAUAAGAUUUAUUUAAUGUGCAGUACCAUCUAUGCCAGGGGUAGGCAACCUACGGCACUCAAGGUGUCUUUGCACGGCACUCAAAGCUGCUAAAGCUGCUGAAUGCAGUGUGUGUGUUAGUGCAGUGGAUGCAGUGUGUGUGUUAGUGUAGUGAAUGCAGUGUGUGUGUUAGUGUAGUGGAUGCAGUGUGUGUGUUGGUGUAGUGAAUGCAGUGUGUGUGUUAGUGCAGUGGAUGCAGUGUGUGUGUUGGUGUAGUGAAUGCAGUGUGUGUGUUAGUGUAGUGAAUGCUGUGUGUGUGUGUGUUUAGUAGUGUAUGCAUGUAAUAACUGUUAUUCCCCCCUCCCUGUUUCUUACCUGGUUCAGGGAGGGGGGAAGAUUCCAUGAUCCCUGGUGGUCCGGUGGCAUUGUGGGUCCCCCCGGCUCCCUAUACUUGCAGAGGGGGCCCAGCGGCUGCACCUAUAUAUAGCGAUCAUCGCUAUAUAUAGGUGUAGAGAGUAAUUGUGGGGCCCUGGACUGCCAAAGCAGUCCGGGCCUCCCAGGACCGCCAGGCCCGUGACAACCGUCAUGGUUUUCACCCCCUGAUGGCGGCCCUGGCGCUAACAUAUGUAUUUUAUCUACUUUACUUUUAGAUUGGACCACCUAUAUGACAACAAAUAUUUAACAUUUAAUUACUGUCGCUUCUUCUUGUAUUAUACAAAUAUUUUACCAUUGUGGGG